ACAAUUCCAAGUUGUUGGGAAUUUUGCUUUCUCCAAGUUCAGCCCAGGUUCCUGGGCUAAAUUACAAGUAGUCUGGCUGCCUGCCAAGCUGUGGAGCCUGAGAAUAAGAGGAAGUACAUAGAAGCAUAGUGGCAGGGAUUGAAUCUGCUGGCCUUGCACGUUCCCUGGGGUCCACUGGGAUCUGCACUUUGGCUGUUACCUUGACAGAUGGAAGAGGUGGAGGGUCCUGGAGAUGUGGCCGUGUGAGUGGAAGCACAGAGGAGAUGUUUGACACCGCAGUCCUCCCUGACUUCAUCAUCCCUGGAGCUCUGCAGGGAAGGGAAAGGAAGAAGGGCUUAAGCACCAGGAGGAGGGAGCAGAUGGGACACCGAAUCAGCAGCAGAGAAAGAUUCUGCUUUUGGCCCAGGGCAGAAGCACAGAUGUCUAGGCCAUUUCACAUUCUGCCUUUCCCUCUUUAUGCAAAAAAAUGUUUUGCUUGACUUCCUA
Long non-coding RNA from Neogale vison (American mink), 486 nucleotides. RefSeq lists it as uncharacterized. NCBI's taxonomy places the organism in Eukaryota, Metazoa, Chordata, Mammalia, Carnivora, Mustelidae. The transcript has 2 exons. The record is from RefSeq and is a predicted model, not a curated record.